AUAGUACCCCGGCCUACCGCUGGCAUGCAAAUGCGAGAGGAAAGUCCGGGCGACAUAGAGCACUCCGCUUCUGAAAAUGGAAGGCGAUGGUGACAUCGGGUGCGUGCAGAAGAAAACAACCGCCUCGCAAAAGGUAAGGGUGAGAAGGUGGUGUAAGAGACUACCAGGCACUAAGUGAUUAGUGUGCUGUGCAGGCCGGAGGUCGCAAGUUCAUGUAAACCGCAGGAUGAAAGCUGCUCGCUUGAUAUUGUGCAUAACACGAUACUGCGGAGGGUAGAACGCUCGAGCUAUGAGGUGACUUAUAGAUUAGAUAAAUGGUAGGCAUUCUUUACGGCUUUCUUAGGCUGGUGAGAACACAGAACCCGGCUUACAGGGGUGCUAUUUCU
RNAcentral lists this RNase P RNA (386 nucleotides) under Prevotella sp. oral taxon 820. Its description in RNAcentral is "RNase P RNA component class A". It matches the Rfam family "Bacterial RNase P class A". From Rfam's summary of the family: Ribonuclease P (RNase P) is a ubiquitous endoribonuclease, found in archaea, bacteria and eukarya as well as chloroplasts and mitochondria. Its best characterised activity is the generation of mature 5'-ends of tRNAs by cleaving the 5'-leader elements of precursor-tRNAs. Lineage: Bacteria; Pseudomonadati; Bacteroidota; Bacteroidia; Bacteroidales; Prevotellaceae. RNAcentral also lists the same sequence under 1 other name. The record is from RNAcentral.